Schistosoma mattheei is the source of this 45-nucleotide non-coding RNA. NCBI's taxonomy places the organism in Eukaryota, Metazoa, Platyhelminthes, Trematoda, Strigeidida, Schistosomatidae. The record is from Rfam.
ACCUAGCUAACGAGUCCCAAAUAGGAAGAAAUACGCGUCCUGGAU